AGAGUUUGAUCCUGGCUCAGGACGAACGCUGGCGGCGUGCUUAAUACAUGCAAGUCGAGCGAGGUUACUGUUUUGGAUCCCUUCGGGGUGAAGAAGCUUUAACCUAGCGGCGGACGGGUGAGUAACGCGUGGGUAACCUACCCCAAAGUCCGGGAUAACAGCGGGAAACCGCUGCUAAUACCGGAUGCCUUUACCUUGGGGCAUCUUGAGGUAAAGAAAGGCAACGCUUUGGGAUGGGCCCGCGUCCCAUUAGCUAGUUGGUGAGGUAACGGCUCACCAAGGCGACGAUGGGUAGCCGGCCUGAGAGGGUGGACGGCCACACUGGGACUGAGACACGGCCCAGACUCCUACGGGAGGCAGCAGUAGGGAAUAUUGCGCAAUGGACGGAAGUCUGACGCAGCGACGCCGCGUGAGCGAUGAAGGUCUUCGGAUCGUAAAGCUCUGUCCUUGGGGAAGAAGGUCUUCGGACUUGACGGUACCCAAGAAGAAAGCCCCGGCUAACUACGUGCCAGCAGCCGCGGUAAU
This 525-nucleotide ribosomal RNA is filed under the name uncultured bacterium. Its description in RNAcentral is "bacterial SSU rRNA". It matches the Rfam family "Bacterial small subunit ribosomal RNA", at positions 8 to 524 of the family's 1533-position model. The record is from RNAcentral.